GACGAACGCUGGCGGCGUGCUUAACACAUGCAAGUCGAACGGAAAGGCCCUGCUUUUGUGGGGUGCUCGAGUGGCGAACGGGUGAGUAACACGUGAGUAACCUGCCCUUUACUUUGGGAUAACUUCAGGAAACUGUGGCUAAUACCGGAUAGGAGCUCCUGCUGCAUGGUGGGGGUUGGAAAGUUUCGGCGGUUGGGGUUGGACUCGCGGCUUAUGAGCUUUUUGGUGGGGUAGUGGCUUACCAAGGCUUUGACGGGUAGCCGGCCUGAGAGGGUGACAGGCCACAGUGGGACUGAGAUACGGCCAAGACUCCUACGGGAGGAAGCAGUGGGGAAUAUUGCACAAUGGGCGGAAGCAUGAUGCAGCAACGCCGCGUGCGGGAUGACGGCCUUCGGGUUGUAAACCGCUUUCGCCUGUGACGAAGAGUGAGUGACGGUAAUGGGUAAAGAAGCACCGGCUAACUACGUG
Molecule: ribosomal RNA, 468 nt
Filed under: uncultured bacterium
Lineage: Bacteria
Description: partial 16S ribosomal RNA
Rfam family: Bacterial small subunit ribosomal RNA
Source: RNAcentral